AGCUCCUCUGCCCGCACCUUGUACAGGCGCCUUCCUCUCUCUCAGGUCCGAGUCUAACCACAGCUCCCCACCUGCUGGUCCCCACGGGGGCGGAGAUGCGGUCUCCCAGUGCCUGGCUCUGUGACUUCAAAGCAAGCGUCCACAUCCUGGUGUCUCCUGUCCUCUCCAUGAAAAGUGAUCCCAGGGUCAGGGUGUGCCUUGUUGCCACUGCAGGGACUGGGCGUCCAGACUGGGAUCACAGGGGCACACUGGGAUCAGCACCGGCCUCUCCGCUCACAAGCUGCAUGACCUCGAGCAGCUUCGCCCGUCUGUGCAGCUGUAAAAUGAGGAUGGUGGCUGUACCUGAUCUGGAGUUUUCUGAGAGGUGAGGAUGUCAAGACUUGGAGUAGGUGACAGUUGGCCUUGGGCUUCGGUGGCCAGCCCAUGACUACAAAAGCCCAAGAAGCCAGUGAGUCCCCUGGCUCCCUCCACCAAGUGGCCUCUGGGUGAUGGGGAAGCUUGUCCUCUGCUUUGUCACACACAAAACUCUAAAAGUCAGGAUCCCAAUGCAUCGGCCUGGAGAGCCCGUGCAGGAUGGACACUCUGCUGGGAGAUGUGGGAAAGGGUCUGCAAGUGGCCCCUCCCCUGUCAUCUGAAUCUUUCGUUUGGUGAAUAGGAGGAUUUAUGUGGAAUAUGGUUUUUCUGACAACAUCGACGUUCCUUCCCGUGCCUUCUGAGUCUCUUUCUCUUAAUUUGACUCUGGUCUCUGCUCUUUGCUGGACUCAGUGAGUAUCUCAUGCUCAGUUUUGGUGGAGGUCACGGAUUUAACUCUUAGAGACACCGUGGGGCAAGACUCAAGCCCAUGAAGCCAUGAGAUGGCAAACCCCACAUGUGAAGGCACCACCUAGUAGUGAACAUUCUCCAGGGAGGCAACCUUGGUGUUAAUUCAUUUAUUAAGAAUCAUGAGGCCAGGUGUAGUGGCUCACGCCUGUAAUCCCAGAGCUCUGGGAGGCUGAAGCGGGUGGAUCACAAGGUCCGGAAUUCAAGACCAACCUGGCCAACAUGGUGAAACCCCCUUCUCUACUAAAAAUACAAAAAUUAGCCAGGCAUGGUGGCGAGAGUCUGUAGUCCCAGGUGCUCGGAAGGAAGGCUGAGGCGUGAAUCUGGGAGGUGGAGGCAGUGAGCCGAGAUCACGCUACUGCACUCCAGCUGGGCCAACAGAGCGAGACUCCAUCUCAAAAAAAAAAAAAAAGAAUCAUGGCAUCCAGCACCCUUCUAGGUACUUCACAAAACCAUGCAGUUAUUUUGUCCUGACCACCCCUGAGGCAGGUGCUGUUAUCAUUCCUGGCCUUCAGAUGCAGAGAGUGAAGCCUGGAGGGAGAGACUCUGCAUCCCAGCCUCCGACUCUCACUCCCAGAAAAUGGGGAGCUGGAGCCAGCCCAGGGCUGUGCAGCUCCUGAACCCAGCACCUCAGGUGCCCCGCUCCACUGCCUCGCCAUCACCUGCAAGGGCUUUAGGCACCCAGCACCCAGCACCCAGCACCCAGGCAGGCGGCGCAGGGAGCAGGCCUCUUUACCAGUUUAGUUGCCACAUCCCCAAAAAGCAUGGAGUCUGGAGCAGAGAUCGUUCCAGCGACAGUGAGUUUGGGAAAUGCUGAGAUCGACUCUUGGCGGGGUGUGGAGGUACCAGGCUGCUCUGCCUGGGGAGGAAGAGGUGGAACUCUCUGGAACAUCCCAGUUACUCAGGAAGGCUGAGGCAGGAGAAUCACUUGAACCCAAGAGGUGGAGGUUGUGGUGAGCUGAGAUCGUGCCACUGCACUUCAGCCUGGGCAACAAGAGUGAAACUCGGUCUCAAAAAAAAAAAAAAAAAAAAAAAAAAAAAAAGAAGGGAGGAGUGUUAUUAAAAGAUCCUGUUCUAAGGACAAAGACCCCCACUUGGGCAAAAGAAAUUAUCAGAACCACAGCUGGAAAACUCGCAGAGUCUGGACAGGCCACCUCCACCCUCGUUUCCUCCCCUAAGUACCCCUCUACAGACAUCUGCUGCCUAAGAACACGUGAACACAACGUGGACCUACGGCCCUGUUAUUCCAGCUUGAAAAAAAAAAGCACACCAGGUUGACUCGGUUGGGCUCUGCACCCCAAAUGCCAUAGCAGCCUCCCGGGGAGGCGGGGAGUGCGGUGUUGGCAACUCGCCCUGGCUGGACUUUCUGCCGGCUUGCCCUCUUUAGCGCUGGUCAGGCUCUGUGGUGGAUGUGUCGAAAGUUAGAGGAACACUGAGUCAUCCUCCUCCCUUUCAGCUGCGGCAUAUUUCUGGGAAUGCGAAGCACAUUUGAGCGACGUGACAUUCCUUACCUCGCCGCAGCAAGGCAGCUGCCCACUUCCUUUCGAGUCAUGUUGCAUCAUCUUUCAGAACAGGACUAAACAAAUAGGCUUGAUGCAUGGUUUUAGGAAAGAAAGGCAAGCGUGCACGUUUGAGCCCCGCCCUCUGCGUGUGCUAGGGCACGAUUCUCCUGCCCCCGAGGGACAGAGGGCACACACUGUUGUGGUUCCUUUCCUGCCUUUCCAUAGAUAAGAACCAUGUAUAUGUGUUCGAUGCGCAUCUCACAAUCACAAAAGAGGCAUGUGACAUUCAAUAUAGGUGUGUUUCCUAACACAUGUGUCAGAGGCAUCUAUGGCUACAUCAGUUCCAGUGAUGGGCAUUGCGGUUUUUAAAAUUCUUUGUCCUCGGCAUCUUGGAAUAAGUCACAGGAAAGGUAAAUGAUCUAUGUAAACCCUUUGGCCCGCGGAUCAACUUUUAUACAUCUAAAUUCGAGAAAAACGUUAUUUAUUAGCAGGAGAGUGAACAAGCAUUUCAAGCUUGCAGAGGGAAGCUGGGGGUGCAGAGAGGAUGCAAAAGUGAACAGAACGGGCAUCUGCUCUCAAGAGGCUGCAGGGCCAUGGUGGAGACAGAGCCCUGUGGAGCAGGAUGCGUGGGCAGUGGACAGUGCACCAAGUAUUUGCUCAGGGGAGCCGGACCCGGAGGGGACCCGGAAAUGCAAACUCCAGGAGGGAUGUCUGAGCCCAGCGGGGGCUGCUGGGAUAAUGAGAAACAGUCUCCGUGCAGGUGGAGGGCACUCACAGAGAGGGGUGGGAAGAUCUGAGCACAGCUCUGUCCCAGGCUGGAAACUGACUCUGUAUCCAGAGCCACGGGGCCUGUGGAAGCCGUAGGGGGCUGGGACACCUCCAGGUGUUCAAUGGUAGGGACUGUGAGCCCUCUAAGUCUUGAGCAGAGAGUGACCUGCUCCAGAUAUGCCUUGGGAAAGUCAUCCUGGUGACACACUGAAAUUUGUCCUGGGAAAGAUUGAAGGUGGGGACACGUUAGGAGGUCAUGUCAGUGCUGCAAACAGGGCUGGAAUGACAGCCAGGGCUGCAGUGAGCGAGACGGGGGUCACACAGCAGUGGUGCAAUUGCAGUUGUGCGUGUGGAGCACUGGCCCUGUGAUCACACGGUGCUGCACACUCACUAGAGCCGUCUCAUUUCGCCAUCAGAGCCGCAGCCCCACGUGACAGGUCUGCUAUCGCUCCAUCUUACAGAUGAAGAAACUGAGGCUCAGGGAAGAGAGAUAGCUGCUCACCGUCACACACUGUAAAUUCUUUGACACAGAAAUUUGGCCGGGGUGCUGAAUAGAACACUGAAGGACAAGGAAGAAUUUAUCCAUGGAGGGGGUAGGGUGAGCGCAAAUUCUAGAAAAAGGGAACCUCAUUGUCUGCAAAAGCCUCAUGGCAGGACAGUCCGUGACCGAUCCCAGCCCAGUUUCUCUGCAGACUCCUGCGCUUGUCAAUUAUACAGGUAACUGGGGCACCCUCACCCCUACCCCACACCACCGCUCAGACUUCCGGAAUCAGAGUCCACAGAGGUGGGGUCAAGGCAUCUGAAUUUUCAUUUUAUCCAUCCAGUGCCUUGGGUUAUUCCCAUGACCAGUAAGUUUGGGAAAUACUGGCUGCUGCAGGAAGCAUCGGGAACUGCUCUGGGAAAGCUGGCCGGAGCUGAAAGGAAACGGUCUCGGAUCGCAUAUGGAAUUUAAACUUAAUACCCAAGCCUGUUGCUUCUUUUCUUUCUAGGGGAGAUGUCACAAAUUCUGCGCCAGAAUCUCACAAGUCACAAAUAACUUAUGUAACCAAACACCACCUGUUCCCCAAUAACCUAUGGAAA
Molecule: non-coding RNA, 4169 nt
Organism: Macaca mulatta (Rhesus monkey)
Lineage: Eukaryota; Metazoa; Chordata; Mammalia; Primates; Cercopithecidae
Source: RefSeq, a predicted model, not a curated record